This 253-nucleotide ribosomal RNA is filed under the name uncultured bacterium. RNAcentral's name for it is "partial 16S ribosomal RNA". It matches the Rfam family "Bacterial small subunit ribosomal RNA", at positions 524 to 776 of the family's 1533-position model. The record is from RNAcentral.
UACGGGGGGAGCAAGCGUUGUUCGGAUUUACUGGGCGUAAAGGGCGCGUAGGCGGUAGCACAAGUCAGUUGUGAAAUCUCCGGGCUUAACUCGGAAAGGUCAACUGAUACUGUGCGACUAGAGUGCAGAAGGGGCAACUGGAAUUCUCGGUGUAGCGGUGAAAUGCGUAGAUAUCAGGAGGAACACCGGUGGCGAAGGCGGAUCUCUGGGCCUUGCCUGACGCUGAGGCGCGAAAGCUAGGGGAGCGAACAGG